GUGGGGAAUAUUGGGCAAUGGGCGAAAGCCUGACCCAGCAACGCCGCGUGAGGGAAGAAGGCCUUCGGGUUGUAAACCUCUGUCCUUGGUGACGAAAAAAAUGACGGUAGCCAAGGAGGAAGCCCCGGCUAACUACGUGCCAGCAGCCGCGGUAAUACGUAGGGGGCGAGCGUUGUCCGGAAUUACUGGGCGUAAAGGGUGCGUAGGUGGCCUUUUAAGUUGGAUGUGAAAUACCCGGGCUUAACUUGGGGGGUGCAUCUAAUACUGGAGGGCUAGAGUGCAGGAGAGGGAAGCGGAAUUCCUAGUGUAGCGGUGAAAUGCGUAGAUAUUAGGAGGAACACCAGUGGCGAAGGCGGCUUUCUGGACUGUAACUGACACUGAGGCACGAAAGCGUGGGGAGCAAACAGGAUUAGAAACCCGUGUAGUCC
This 428-nucleotide ribosomal RNA is filed under the name uncultured bacterium. Its description in RNAcentral is "partial 16S ribosomal RNA". It matches the Rfam family "Bacterial small subunit ribosomal RNA", at positions 354 to 796 of the family's 1533-position model. The record is from RNAcentral.